GUGGGGGAUAUUGCACAAUGGAGGAAACUCUGAUGCAGCGACGCCGCGUGAGUGAAGAAGUAUUUCGGUAUGUAAAGCUCUAUCAGCAGGGAAGAUAAUGACAGUACCUGACUAAGAAGCCCCGGCUAACUACGUGCCAGCAGCCGCGGUAAUACGUAGGGGGCAAGCGUUAUCCGGAUUUACUGGGUGUAAAGGGAGCGUAGACGGAAUGGCAAGUCUGAAGUGAAAUCCUGCGGCUUAACUGCAGAAUUGCUUUGGAAACUGUCAAUCUGGAGUGUUGGAGAGGUAAGCGGAAUUCCUGGUGUAGCGGUGAAAUGCGUAGAUAUCAGGAAGAACACCGGAGGCGAAGGCGGCUUACUGGACAAUAACUGACGUUGAGGCUCGAAAGCGUGGGGAGCAAACAGGAUUAGAAACCCGGGUAGUCC
Molecule: ribosomal RNA, 425 nt
Filed under: uncultured bacterium
Lineage: Bacteria
Description: partial 16S ribosomal RNA
Rfam family: Bacterial small subunit ribosomal RNA
Source: RNAcentral